CCUACGGGGUGCAGCAGUGGGGGAUAUUGCACAAUGGGCGAAAGCCUGAUGCAGCGACGCCGCGUGAGGGAAGACGGUCUUCGGAUUGUAAACCUCUGUCUUUGGGGAAGAAAAAGCAUCGGCUAACUCCGUGCCAGCAGCCGCGGUAAUACGGAGGAUGCGAGCGUUAUCCGGAUUUAUUGGGUUUAAAGGGUGCGCAGGCGGAUUUUUAAGUCAGCGGUCAAAUCGUGGGGCUCAACCCCAUCCAGCCGUUGAAACUGGGGAUCUAGAGUGUGCGAGAGGUAUGCGGAAUGCGUGGUGUAGCGGUGAAAUGCAUAGAUAUCACGCAGAACCCCGAUUGCGAAGGCAGCAUACCGGUGCACAACUGACGCUCAGGCACGAAAGCGUGGGUAUCGAACAGGAUUAGAUACCCUUGUAGUC
RNAcentral lists this ribosomal RNA (420 nucleotides) under uncultured bacterium. RNAcentral's name for it is "partial 16S ribosomal RNA". It matches the Rfam family "Bacterial small subunit ribosomal RNA", at positions 338 to 795 of the family's 1533-position model. The record is from RNAcentral.